AUAUAUAUAUUUAGUGCGUAGUUACUCUUUAGAAACAUUUCCUCAUUAUGUUGAUAAAAAACAUAACUUAGGUGCCAUUACUUUCUUUUAGAACAUGCAGUAUUUUCUGUUGCAAAUAAGCAGUAUAAAACAUAAUUUUUAGGAGACAGGGUUUGAUACCUUCAGACAGGCGUCCAGGAGGCAUUCCGAUCUUAUGCCUGAACCUCCUCAUCUGGCCUCUUUUAUUGCAAAUAAGCAUUGGUUCUUUUUCAAGCUCCCUCUAUGCAUCUGGCCUCGACUCUAAUGGUGUAUUCAGACCAAACGUGAAGCAAAUUUUUCACAUGGCAUGAUUGCAUACAAAGUCAAUGUAAAGACGCAAAUAGACCUGAAUUUGCGCCGGGCGACGCAAGUUGACACAAAUAUGUGUCCGUGCGUUAAAAAUGUUUUAACUCGAGCCAAAAAUUUGCACUUGUUGCAGAGCUUUAUGAAUGUACUUUAUAAACAUACAGAGAGGACUGGGGUGCAGGAGAGAUAUUGGAGGGAAAUAACAGAAGAAGAACAACAAGAACCGGAGUUCCUGGUGAGUUCAGACAGGAGUUAAACUGAACCCAAACACACAGACACACCCUGUGCUAGCUAGCUUGCAGUUAAUGUACAGUACUGUACUUUGGCUGUUUGGGGCAAGUAAUCACAAAUGAUCCUGGAGUCAAACUCAUGCAAGUAACGCAAAGUGAUUUUUCGUCUCGCAUUACUCUGGACGUCCAAACACACCAUAAGGAUGAGUCCAGACACCUUGUGAACGAGUUUCAUCUCAGCUGUGUCCAAGAUCUCAUUCUUGAGUAACACUACACUAAAGCUCAUAACCAUUAAAAACUGGGACGCAGAUCAAAUUGUUAAUCGUUACUUCACCGUUAUCCCCCCCCCCAAACUGCCUCACACUAAGCUCCAACCGUCAAAAUGUGUGUUGGCGGUCACAGUGUAAUGAAGCCAACAGAUCCCCAACAGAGAAGCAAUCCUGAGGCCACCAAACUGGAAUCUCUCUCUCUCCUCGGCUGCACUUUGAAAUCUUGUCCAUGAGAACCACAAGCAGAAAUUCCGUCAACAUCCUCUGAGAAUGCACAAAUGUUAGUGUUCAUUGUCAAGUAAGCUUAAAACUGGAAAUAAGUUUUUUAUUUCUCCUACUCAAUAACUGUGAUGGGUUUCCAUGGGCUUGUCAUGAAUUAGAUCCAACAAGAAGCUCACUUCAACACAACCACAUAUCAUUUUUCAUCUUGGCACAAUCCCCAAUCUCUUUGAUGCUCCAGUUUGUUAUGUUCGCUCGCCAAGAACGUUGCAGUUCAUCACCAUUCUGCUUCUUUCUAUGGGGUGAAAUUCACAGAUGGUAGGCGGGUGCAUGUCAGGAUCUUUCAGAUACUCCCAUAAGGAAUGGAAAGAUGUAUUAUUUAUCAUUUCACUGUGUAUGUGUGUGUGUGUGUGUGUGUGUGUGUGUGUGUGUGUGGCAGGGGCCUGGGGGGUGGCUGAAUGAUCUGUGAUGUAUAUGUAAUUGCCCCUUGAACUGCUCCUUGAAUUGCCCCUGUUCUUUAAUGUAUGCAUUUAGACAAAUGCCCCUACCCACACAUGCAGAACAUCUGAAUAAUUCACAUUUAAGAAGCUCUCCACACUCCACAACUCAGUAUUAUAUCAUCUUAUAGCUCAAUUCUCAACACACUUUUAUUUUGGGGAUCUUUAGUUGAAUGUGCUCUAGUCAGACUUGAUUUUUUGUGUACUUGUGUGUUUUAAUGCCUGAUACCUGAUAUGGGGGGCUUUUAUGUCUGUAAAUUGCCUAAAAGUUGGAGGUUGGAGGUCGGAGGUCGGGGUAGAUGGACAGUGUACAAGAUGCAGGACUCAUAGCCACAGGAGGGGUGACUCCAGGUGGCUGGGGCUGCAUAUAGGCUCAUUCGUGUUGUUGCAAGAUUUUAUUUCUUUCUGUGGCAUGCAAGCCAGUCCUGCAAAAACAAACCUGACACAUAAACAUAGUGGAGCAUACAAUACUAAUGUAACAGAGUCACAAAACCACAGUGACGCAACAGCUCUCUCUUUGUGAUUUUUUUUUUUUUUUUACUGGAAUCCGCAGUAACAGACAGUAAACAUCAAGGAACCCCUCAUGGACAGCUGGGAAUUCUUUCCUGCCAUGCACAGUGCCUUGGG
Thunnus maccoyii (southern bluefin tuna) is the source of this 2166-nucleotide long non-coding RNA. RefSeq lists it as uncharacterized. The transcript has 2 exons. The record is from RefSeq and is a predicted model, not a curated record. Lineage: Eukaryota; Metazoa; Chordata; Actinopteri; Scombriformes; Scombridae.